AUACGUAGGGGGCAAGCGUUAUCCGGAUUUACUGGGUGUAAAGGGAGCGUAGACGGCAAAGCAAGUCUGAAGUGAAAGCCCCGGGCUCAACCCGGGAAUUGCUUUGGAAACUGUUUAGCUGGAGUGCAGGAGAGGUAAGCGGAAUUCCUAGUGUAGCGGUGAAAUGCGUAGAUAUUAGGAGGAACACCGGCGGCGAAGGCGGCUUACUGGACUGUAACUGACGUUGAGGCUCGAAAGCGUGGGGAGCAAACAGGAUUAGAUACCCUGGUAGUCCACGCCGUAAACGAUGAUUACUAGGUGUUGGUUGUCAUAGACAAUCGGUGCCGCAGCAAACGCAAUAAGUAAUCCACCUGGGGAGUACGUUCGCAAGAAUGAAACUCAAAGGAAUUGACGGG
Molecule: ribosomal RNA, 395 nt
Filed under: uncultured bacterium
Lineage: Bacteria
Description: partial 16S ribosomal RNA
Rfam family: Bacterial small subunit ribosomal RNA
Source: RNAcentral